CCAAUAGCGUAUAUUAAAGUUGUUGCAGUUAAAAAGCUCGUAGUUGAAUUUCGGGAUUGACGUGAUGGUCGUGCCUUACGGGGUAUGAACUGUUGCUGUUGAUUUCUCACCUUCUGGAGAAACUUGAUGUCCUUAAUUGGGUGUCUUGCGGAUCCAGGACCUUUACCUUGAAAAAAUUAGAGUGUUUAAAGCAGGCAUUUUGCUCGAAUACAUUAGCAUG
RNAcentral lists this ribosomal RNA (220 nucleotides) under uncultured Entrophospora. Its description in RNAcentral is "uncultured Claroideoglomus partial small subunit ribosomal RNA". It matches the Rfam family "Eukaryotic small subunit ribosomal RNA", at positions 591 to 811 of the family's 1831-position model. Lineage: Eukaryota; Fungi; Glomeromycota; Glomeromycetes; Entrophosporales; Entrophosporaceae. The record is from RNAcentral.